Molecule: microRNA, 22 nt
Filed under: Rattus norvegicus (Norway rat)
Lineage: Eukaryota; Metazoa; Chordata; Mammalia; Rodentia; Muridae
Description: rno-miR-105
Gene: rno-miR-105
Source: miRBase by way of RNAcentral
CAAGUGCUCAGAUGUCUGUGGU